GGACGAACGCUGGCUGCGUGCUUAACACAUGCAAGUCGAACGCUGAAGCCGGGUGCUUGCACCCGGUGGAUGAGUGGCGAACGGGUGAGUAACACGUGAGUAACCUGCCCCUGAUUUCGGGAUAAGCCCGGGAAACUGGGUCUAAUACCGGAUAUGACCAAUCCUCGCAUGAGGGUUGGUGGAAAGUUUUUUCGAUCAGGGAUGGGCUCGCGGCCUAUCAGCUUGUUGGUGGGGUAAUGGCCUACCAAGGCGACGACGGGUAGCCGGCCUGAGAGGGCGACCGGCCACACUGGGACUGAGACACGGCCCAGACUCCUACGGGAGGCAGCAGUGGGGAAUAUUGCACAAUGGGGGAAACCCUGAUGCAGCGACGCAGCGUGCGGGAUGACGGCCUUCGGGUUGUAAACCGCUUUCAGCAGGGAAGAAGCGCAAGUGACGGUACCUGCAGAAGAAGUACCGGCUAACUACGUGCCAGCAGCCGCGGUAAUACGUAGGGUACGAGCGUUGUCCGGAAUUAUUGGGCGUAAAGAGCUCGUAGGUGGUUGGUCACGUCUGCUGUGGAAACGCAACGCUUAACGUUGCGCGUGCAGUGGGUACGGGCUGACUAGAGUGCAGUAGGGGAGUCUGGAAUUCCUGGUGUAGCGGUGAAAUGCGCAGAUAUCAGGAGGAACACCGGUGGCGAAGGCGGGACUCUGGGCUGUAACCCACACUGAGGAGCGAAAGCAUGGGGAGCGAACAGGAUUAGAUACCCUGGUAGUCCAUGCCGU
RNAcentral lists this ribosomal RNA (767 nucleotides) under Brevibacterium aureum. RNAcentral's name for it is "bacterial SSU rRNA". It matches the Rfam family "Bacterial small subunit ribosomal RNA", at positions 27 to 803 of the family's 1533-position model. Lineage: Bacteria; Bacillati; Actinomycetota; Actinomycetes; Micrococcales; Brevibacteriaceae. The record is from RNAcentral.